GGUUUUUAAAUUUUAAAUUUUGAUUUUGUAAUUUGCAUUGCGAAAUUUUGUUGGGGAGAAUUUCAGUAAAAACCAUUUACUUUUAUCUCCAACGAAAUCUUUUUCAAAUGACUUACGAAAUGUGCUACUCUGCAUCCUUACAAUUCCCAGAUUGUCUGCAGAUCUCGCGAUCGUAGCAUUAUACUGUGGAGUACGCCAGCCACAUCUUGCAACAUCCUCGACUGCCAUCAGAACUGGGUUCGCCGUUUGCCACUCGUUCGGAUCUUCUGACCAUGUCGGCCGGUUGGGAUAAGGUGCUACUUUUUUGACAGAUUUGUGGGCUCGUACGUGUUUGGCUUGUGCGUGUUUGUCUUCCGCGUGAAUUUUUCGUAUCGGAUCCUGUUUACUACCUAGCGAUGCUGUGGUUCCACUUUUCAUCGCAUCGCUGCGCAGCCUUUCAUUAUAUUGCGUCGCCAUUAUCAAGUUAACCGGGGGAAGUUCCUCUCUGCUCUUUCUCUUUUGACGGAAUCACCAAGAGCUGCCGUCGACGACGUAUAACGGACGAAAAAAUGGUCUAAGAAUGGAUCCGUUGUCUUGUGAAUUUGUAUAAUACCGAGAGUCUCGAGUUUUUGUUGACACUUCAAGAGAAAGAAGAAAAGCGUUUGCGUGAGAAAGGAACCCGCUAUCUUGACAAGUUUGAGGAUCUGCUCCCGUAUGCUGGAACGUCCGUUGGCCGGAGCCUUACUUCAAGCCGUGCGGAACUGUCCACUUCAACCACAAGUCCACAACUGAAUUUGAACUGCAACGAAAGCUUCUGCAUCUCAACGCAAUUAAGGCAAAGAUCAGUGAACUGGAUAAAAAGAAGGUGGUAGCCGAUAAAAAAAUUAAUUUUGAAUUGAAACAUGAUGUCAAAAAUGUGAUUGGGUUGGGUAAUAUGGUAAAAUUCGAAGCCCAUUGGAAGAAUACGCAGCGCUGAAUGUUGUCGAUAAACCUAAGUCGUGUUUUUUUAUUGUUCGACCUGAUCAAAAGCAUGCUUGCUCUGCGGCGGGGUGCCACAAAAUGUGAUUGUUAGUUUCAAUAAAGAUGCUUUCAGUUA
This is a long non-coding RNA of Paramacrobiotus metropolitanus, 1075 nucleotides long. RefSeq lists it as uncharacterized. NCBI's taxonomy places the organism in Eukaryota, Metazoa, Tardigrada, Eutardigrada, Parachela, Macrobiotidae. The record is from RefSeq and is a predicted model, not a curated record. The transcript is spliced from 3 exons.